This is a long non-coding RNA of Glycine soja, 680 nucleotides long. RefSeq lists it as uncharacterized. The record is from RefSeq and is a predicted model, not a curated record. The transcript is spliced from 3 exons. Lineage: Eukaryota; Viridiplantae; Streptophyta; Magnoliopsida; Fabales; Fabaceae.
CAUCUUCUCCUAGUUUUACUUUCAAGUUACAUUCAUCUUAUCUCUUGCUAAAAUUGCAUUGCAUAUACUUAAUAUUCUGUCUUAACCCCUACUUAAGCGAAAACCCUUUGUUUUUAAACUCUAUCUUCUAUACAAGAAGUUCUUCUAAAAUGAUAAUCAAUAACCAGCUAGCCAAAAUGGCUCAAAAUGCAACCAUGCUGUCCAAUCUCUUUGUAUAUUAGAAACUGAGAUUCCCUUGAAACAACUGAGUGGAGCUCCAUAGAGAACCCACUUGAAUACAAUUGUUUCCUAACAGAUGUAGGGUGUAGACAUUUCGAUCAUGUGAACCAUAGAUGCACAAAAACAGCACACUGCCAUAAAAUAUGGGCAUUUUUGACUUGUUGACUUUGGUACUCAGAUAUUUGGUAAUAAGCUAGGCUUAAUUCUUUGUGUCGAUAACACUGAUAAUUUAUUUGCUAAAAUGCAGGAUUCUGUGGUUAUGCUUGAGUUUUAUGGGCUUUCCUGUUUGGUUUGGCAACCUGAUGAAGCUAACAUGUAAACCAGUUAUAUGCCUGGCCUCUAUAUACUCAAGAGGGAGAGUGGGAAAUUACAGUUGCUAUGUCCGAAAUAAAAUAAUUUUCUGUGGACUAAUUCUGAAGCUGUUGUCGAGUGACUGAUAGUCUGAUAUGCUUGCUAUAACU